RNAcentral lists this transfer RNA (70 nucleotides) under Camelus bactrianus (Bactrian camel). It matches the Rfam family "tRNA". From Rfam's summary of the family: Transfer RNA (tRNA) molecules are approximately 80 nucleotides in length. Their secondary structure includes four short double-helical elements and three loops (D, anti-codon, and T loops). The record is from Rfam by way of RNAcentral. Lineage: Eukaryota; Metazoa; Chordata; Mammalia; Artiodactyla; Camelidae. RNAcentral also lists the same sequence under 2 other names.
GGGGAUAGCUCAAUGGUAGAGUGCCUGCUUAGCAUGCAUGAUGUCCUGGGUUCAAUCCCCAGUACCUCCA